This 87-nucleotide Y RNA is filed under the name Otolemur garnettii (small-eared galago). Its description in RNAcentral is "Y RNA (ENSOGAG00000027561.1)". It matches the Rfam family "Y RNA". Rfam says of the family: Y RNAs are components of the Ro ribonucleoprotein particle (Ro RNP), in association with Ro60 and La proteins. The Y RNAs and Ro60 and La proteins are well conserved, but the function of the Ro RNP is not known. Lineage: Eukaryota; Metazoa; Chordata; Mammalia; Primates; Galagidae. The record is from Rfam by way of RNAcentral.
AGUGGUCCAAUGGCAGUGUGGUUUAUCAACAUUAGUGUUACUACAGCUGAUAUAUAACCCCCCACUGCUAAAUUUGACUGGCUUAAA